Molecule: unclassified non-coding RNA, 268 nt
Filed under: Ascaris lumbricoides (common roundworm)
Lineage: Eukaryota; Metazoa; Nematoda; Chromadorea; Rhabditida; Ascarididae
Description: partial ITS2
Source: RNAcentral
AUUGAAAGAGUUGCCAUUUAUGAAUUUUCAACAUUCAUAGAGAAUGGCAUGUAUAUUCGAUAAGCUAUGAUAGUGGACAAAUGAGAAGUACUAUCGUACCUUAUUUAGCUAAUCUAUGAUUCAAUAUCUCGUUGUAAUUUGCUUAAACGAGAUGAGCGAGAGAGAAUAUAUACAUCAAAACGCUCUUAAAAGACGAUUCCAGCGUAUAUUGUGUGAAUGGCAUAGUUGGAAAGAAAGAUGAGCGUGACAAUAAUGAUGUAUAUGAAAA